Molecule: ribosomal RNA, 1530 nt
Filed under: Salmonella enterica subsp. salamae serovar Greenside
Lineage: Bacteria; Pseudomonadati; Pseudomonadota; Gammaproteobacteria; Enterobacterales; Enterobacteriaceae
Description: bacterial SSU rRNA
Rfam family: Bacterial small subunit ribosomal RNA
Source: RNAcentral
AGAGUUUGAUCAUGGCUCAGAUUGAACGCUGGCGGCAGGCCUAACACAUGCAAGUCGAACGGUAACAGGAAGCAGCUUGCUGCUUCGCUGACGAGUGGCGGACGGGUGAGUAAUGUCUGGGAAACUGCCUGAUGGAGGGGGAUAACUACUGGAAACGGUGGCUAAUACCGCAUAACGUCGCAAGACCAAAGAGGGGGACCUUAGGGCCUCUUGCCAUCAGAUGUGCCCAGAUGGGAUUAGCUUGUUGGUGAGGUAACGGCUCACCAAGGCGACGAUCCCUAGCUGGUCUGAGAGGAUGACCAGCCACACUGGAACUGAGACACGGUCCAGACUCCUACGGGAGGCAGCAGUGGGGAAUAUUGCACAAUGGGCGCAAGCCUGAUGCAGCCAUGCCGCGUGUAUGAAGAAGGCCUUCGGGUUGUAAAGUACUUUCAGCGGGGAGGAAGGUGUUGUGGUUAAUAACCGCAGCAAUUGACGUUACCCGCAGAAGAAGCACCGGCUAACUCCGUGCCAGCAGCCGCGGUAAUACGGAGGGUGCAAGCGUUAAUCGGAAUUACUGGGCGUAAAGCGCACGCAGGCGGUCUGUCAAGUCGGAUGUGAAAUCCCCGGGCUCAACCUGGGAACUGCAUUCGAAACUGGCAGGCUUGAGUCUUGUAGAGGGGGGUAGAAUUCCAGGUGUAGCGGUGAAAUGCGUAGAGAUCUGGAGGAAUACCGGUGGCGAAGGCGGCCCCCUGGACAAAGACUGACGCUCAGGUGCGAAAGCGUGGGGAGCAAACAGGAUUAGAUACCCUGGUAGUCCACGCCGUAAACGAUGUCUACUUGGAGGUUGUGCCCUUGAGGCGUGGCUUCCGGAGCUAACGCGUUAAGUAGACCGCCUGGGGAGUACGGCCGCAAGGUUAAAACUCAAAUGAAUUGACGGGGGCCCGCACAAGCGGUGGAGCAUGUGGUUUAAUUCGAUGCAACGCGAAGAACCUUACCUGGUCUUGACAUCCACGGAAGGUCUCAGAGAUGAGACUGUGCCUUCGGGAACCGUGAGACAGGUGCUGCAUGGCUGUCGUCAGCUCGUGUUGUGAAAUGUUGGGUUAAGUCCCGCAACGAGCGCAACCCUUAUCCUUUGUUGCCAGCGGUCCGGCCGGGAACUCAAAGGAGACUGCCAGUGAUAAACUGGAGGAAGGUGGGGAUGACGUCAAGUCAUCAUGGCCCUUACGACCAGGGCUACACACGUGCUACAAUGGCGCAUACAAAGAGAAGCGACCUCGCGAGAGCAAGCGGACCUCAUAAAGUGCGUCGUAGUCCGGAUUGGAGUCUGCAACUCGACUCCAUGAAGUCGGAAUCGCUAGUAAUCGUGGAUCAGAAUGCCACGGUGAAUACGUUCCCGGGCCUUGUACACACCGCCCGUCACACCAUGGGAGUGGGUUGCAAAAGAAGUAGGUAGCUUAACCUUAGGGAGGGCGCUUACCACUUUGUGAUUCAUGACUGGGGUGAAGUCGUAACAAGGUAACCGUAGGGGAACCUGCGGUUGGAUCACCU